UUUGGCAUUUAUUGUUGAAACUAUUAACGAGUUACUUCUACUUUAUUAUUUCAAAAAGUCUCAUUUUUUUUUCUUUUUAGUAUGCCACACGUGGUUGACAAACGUGAAUACUUUGAGAGGAUAUCCCAGCAGAACCCACUGUGGUUUGAGGGUUUUCUCGUCAUCUUGCAUUAGAGAAAAUGAUGCUGAAUCAUAUAUGCUUAACAAAUCAAAAAGCAACAAACAUAUGCUGGUCUUGACGGUUCUACCACUGGCUGGUUUCAGCAGGCCCUGGGCUGUGCGGGUUCGGGCUCCUCCCAAGAGAGAUGAAGAGAUGGACAGACAGUAACAGAAGGUCCUCGAAGCUGAUGUGUGAUGAAGCCUUUCACAUUUUUUGGUAUAGUAAUCUACACACAAGACUUGUUCAGUGCUUUUGUGAUUUUAACCAUAAAGAGGAAGAGAAAAACAAGAAGGGCAUGAACCAUAUCCUCCUCCAUCAUGCCUUUUUUCCAAAAGUUUUGGUGAUAGGUGUAGAGAAGAAUCUAGGCCAAGCAGAAAUACAGGUCUGAAGCAAUGGCCUACCAUCUAAUACCGGAAAUGAAGGGAAGUGCUAUCUGUACUUUUGUAAGGGAUGUCGAUGAGAUCUAAGCCAUGAUUAAGGCUGCAUCUAUCACAAAUUGUUGGUUCACAGAAUUUUUACUUUUUAGCUAGUUAUUAGAGAAUUCUCUCUCAACUCAUUUGUUCCUUUACCGAUCUCAACUCUAAGAGUAACAUUACUGUGCUUGGGUUAUAAAUGUUUUAUGAAAAUUAACUUUUACAAAAUAUUCAGAAAAUUACUUUAAAAGUUUCAGAAAUGACUUUUUUAACCCUAACUUUCAUUUUAUAUAGAGAAAAACUUGAACUUGCUUAUGUAUUGAUACAGUGAUACUAUGCACCAUGUUUGUCUAACCUUUAGUUCAUUGACUUCUUUUGCAGACCUGCCAAGGUUUUGAGAAAAUAAAUGCUAUCAUCACAGGAUGGCCAGAUGACAGACCUAUACAAAUUCUUCCCUUUAUAGUAUCAAGUCCUUUUAUCAAAAUCAUCUUCAUGAUUUGAAACUGAACAUCGCCCCAGGGAAAUAGCUUCAGGGACGUGCUUACAAUGAAUAUUCUUGAACAUUUUAUUCUAAUGUUUAAGAAAGAACAGUAACAAAGAAGGCAAAAUAUCAGCAAGUUAUAACAUUUUGAGUUUUUCAUCUUCAAAUAAAUGAACCAAGGAGGACUAAAAGGCAAGUGGCAAAUGACGAUGCCAAGAGACUCUCCUAAGAAGUUUAUGAGACACAAAAUCUCUCAGCUUUACUUUGUUAAAUACACAAACACUGGAUUACUGUGAAGAAAAAAAUGUGCUAUGAGAAAUUACAGUUAGCCUUACCAAAUGGCGAAAUAUUUACACAAAUCAUAUCCUCAUUUUGUGUGUGUUUUUUGUAAGAUGAUGGUUCUUUUGCCAAUAUUUUUUCUCAACAUUUAAGAUUAAGAAACACUUGGAUUUACUAAUGAAUAUUUGUCUACAUAGACAUGAAAAAUGAUUAAAAUAGUAGAAAACUUAUAUCAGAAAACUUAUAUUUUCUAUCAUGUAAAAUUAAACUACUUGUCCUUGAAGUACCAAAAUGCAAGGUUAUACAGAUGAACACAUUACCAAGUAUCUGCUGACUUUGAGUGACUCUAUAAUUUAGAUAAGUAUUAAUUGAAAUAUAUUCUAGAUUAUAUAUUUUGUAUAUAUAUGUUUAAAUAAUGGCACACCAAAAUGAAUAUCAAGUAUUCUUAAGGCAGAAGUCAACAAACAUUUUCAGAAUAUUUCUAUUAUA
RNAcentral lists this long non-coding RNA (1822 nucleotides) under Macaca mulatta (Rhesus monkey). RNAcentral's name for it is "lncRNA (ENSMMUG00000053028.1)". The record is from RNAcentral. Lineage: Eukaryota; Metazoa; Chordata; Mammalia; Primates; Cercopithecidae.